Molecule: long non-coding RNA, 494 nt
Filed under: Setaria viridis
Lineage: Eukaryota; Viridiplantae; Streptophyta; Magnoliopsida; Poales; Poaceae
Description: long non-coding RNA (SVIR_LNC001072)
Source: RNAcentral
GAUGGAUGGGCAAUUUGACAGACUAGAUGAGCUCAUCUACGUGGAGAGCCAUCUAAGCAACCUCUCAACUAAAUUCUACGGAGAGGUGACACAGCAAAUGCUAAAGCAUGCAGACUUCCCAGGAAGCAACAAUGGAACAGGUCUCUUCCAGACCAUCGUUGGACUGAAGAUUAGAGAUCUCUAUGAACAGAUAGUUGCUGAGAGGGCUGGUGCACCAGUUGAGUCAGCGAAAGUUUAAUGAUCUCCACAUUCAGAUUUCCUACACCUCUUCAAACUCAAUGAGAAUGAGAAUCCUCGCAUUUCCUGUAAUUAGUUCGGAUAUAUCACAGCUAGAAGGAGGUAGAAAUGUCAUUGCAGUGCUCAGGAAAACAUGCAAUGGAAUUUCUAGAAAUCCCUCGCCAUGGGGGUGCUCUUGCAUCUCUUUUUCACAUGUUUGAAUGUAUACCUCUUCCAUGCUUUUAUGCAGAAAGAAAUACAACUGCCUGGUGCCUGGU